UGGCCUCUGAGGUCAACGACGCCGGCGUGUCGGUGUCGCCGCUGUACCUGGCCGUGAUGAGUGUGAGCUAACAGCUGCACAUGCUUGUUCUUCCUUCAGUUUCGACAGGUUUCAACAGGUCAUCUCUCUGUCAGUUCCGUUAGGGGGAAGCCACCACUGUAUCUUUCCCAUUUUCAUUCAAAUAACCUGAGCUGCGACUCGGGCGUAGACUAGGAUAGUUCUUCCCUAUCGUUGCGGCCCUGACCUGAUCGUGGGAUGACACGAAUGAGAUGGUCAUGGGAGCAUCACGGGCGAAGCGCGGGGAGCGUUGGGAUGGCGAUGCUCACGACUCGCUCCUUUCCCGUUUUUCGUUUUCAGUUAGUUCAUGUAUUCGUUGCUUAAGAGAAGGAAUAGAAACAGAAAAGCUGCACUUGCACGCGGCACAAAAACCUCCUUCGUCUACCACUAACCAGAGUGAGAGAGAGAGAGCAAGCUCGAGCGGUUUAGGGUCUCACAAGUGGCAUCAGAGCCGCGUUGACAGGAUCCGGCGACCUGUGAUGGCGGGUGAUGAUGGCAAGAAGAAGGCGGAGGGCGCCGACGACGACGGAAGCAAGAGCUCGCCACGAUACGCGGUCGGCCAAGGGCGCGAGCUGACGGUGGCGAGGCAAUUCGCUCCGGUCAUGUCGGGUCACGCCAACGUACCACCAUUGACACGCACGAACUACGCCGAGUGGAGCCUUCUCAUGGAGGUUGGGAUGCACGCAAGAGGUAUGUGGCGCGCGAUCGAGGGCGCCGAGGACCUUGACGAGGAGUACGGGUACCGCAACGACAAGGGAGCGAUGGAGUUCAUCCUCCGAUCGGUCCCUGCUGAGAUGCUGCCCAUGCUCCGGAAGCACAAAACUUCCCAGGAGUUGUGUGAGGCGAUCCGAGCCAUGCGCCCAGGCUCCGCGCGUGUUCGGGACCCCAAGGCCCAAAACCUCCCGGGGGGAGUUCGAUCAGCUGCGCCACAAACCCGGUGAGUCCAUCGACGAGCUAGCCAUGCGCCUCACAGGGCUGUGCGCGCGCCUCGGGGAGCUUGGAGAUGUGAUCAGCGACAAGCGCGUCAUCCAGAAGUGGCUGCGGGUCGUCCCCAAGCGGUACUCGCAGCUCGCGCUCUCCAUCGACAACCUCGUCGACCUGGACGCGACGUCAAUAGAAGAGGUUAUCGGCCAUUUCAAGGCGGCCGAGGAGCGCUACGAACUGGACGCCGAGGAAGAGGGCGGCAGCAAGCUCCUCCUCACCAUGGAGGAGUGGAACGCGCGUGCCAAGCGAGGAGAUCAAGGCGGGUCCCCUAGCGAGGGGGCCAACGGCGGGAAGAAACCGCAAGGAAAGGGGCAAGGUGACCGCAGCAAGAAUGCCGCCCGUCCUGGCGGCGGAAAGGGCGGGCCCAAGCGCUCCGGCAACUGCCGCUAUUGCGGCAUUAGCGGCCAUUGGGUUCGCGAGUGCCGCAAGAAGAUGAAGGACGAGGGCACGGGCGAGGCUCAUCUCGCGACAGCAGAAGAGGAAGACCCUGCGCUCCUAAUGGCGCAGGUGACGCCUCUGCCCGAUGAGCCCAGCCGCGACACGUCUGGGGAUCAGCUCGUGCAUCUCCACGAGGAGAGCGCCGAGGUGAGCCUCGGGGCGGCGGGAGACGCCAAGGAACCCACGUGGCACCUGGACACCGAAGCUUCGAAUCACAUGACCGGGAACUCCACCGUCUUCUCCGAGCUAGAUCGCCACGUCGCCGGCAUGGUGCGUUUCGGUGACGGGUCGGUGGUCGAGAUCGAGGGGCGCGGGACGGUGGUCUUUGUCGCCCACGGAGGGCGUCACUACCUCGCCUGCGCACCUCGAUCAUCUCCGUCGGACAGCUCGACGAGGCGGGAUGCACCGCCCUGGUUCGGAGCGGCAUGAUGGUGGUGCGAGACCGCCACAAGAACGUCAUCGUCAAGGUAGUCAGGACGAGGAACCAUCUCUACACCGUCGAGCUGGACAUCACUCAGCCCGUGUGCCUGUCAGCGUCUGCUGGCGAGGAUGCGUGGCGGUGGCAUGCCCGCUACGGGCACCUGAACUUCGACGCGCUUCGGAAGAUGUCCCAGGACGACCUAGUUCGCGGCAUGCCGCUGGUCGAGCACGUCGACCAGGUGUAUGACAGCUGCCUGGUCGGCAAGCAGCGGCGCGCCUCCUUCCCACAAGAAGCGGCCUAUCGGGUCGGUGAUCGCCUGGAUCUGGUCCAUGGUGAUCUCUGCGGACCAAUCUCGCCGCCCACACAUGGAGGGAAAAGGUACUUCCUGCUGCUUGUAGAUGACAAGUCUCGUUACAUGUGGAUUGUGCUCCUGAGCAGAAAGGACGAGGCACCGGCAGCGAUCAAGCGCUGGCAGGCCGGAGUGGAGAUGGAGACCUUCAGCAAGCUGCGCGCACUGCACACCGACAGGGGCGGGGAGUUCACCUCAUCCGAGUUUGGAGAGUAUGGGCUGAUUGCGGCGUGCGCCGGCAGCUCACUUCUCCGUACUCGCCGCAGCAGAACGGCGUUGUAGAGCGCCGGAAUCAGACUGUGGUCGGAACGGCUCGGUGUCUUCUAAAGGCGAAAGGGAUGCCGAACGAGUUCUGGGGGGAGGCGGUGACCACCGCGGUUCAUCUACUGAACUGCGGACCAACAAAGGCCGUGCGCGGCAUGACUCCCUACGAAGCUUGGCAUGGUCAGAAGCCGGCGAUGAGCUACUUCCGCACCUUCGGGUGCAUAACCCACGCCAAGGUCACACGGCCUGGUCUCAAGAAGCUGGAUGACCGCAGCCAGCGCACCGUGUUCAUCGGGUACGAGCAUGGACAGACCAAGGCGUGGCGCGUCUAUGAUUCGGUGAGCAAGUGAGUGCACGUCACCCGGGACGCUGUCUUCGACGAGAUGGUGCACUGGGAUUGGAAGAUGGAGACUGUGGGGGAGGGGACGUUCAUGAUCGAGUUCACGCCCGCCCCAACCCUCACAAGGCAGCCGGAGCAGCCCAGGACUGGAGGAGAACCGGGAUUGUGCCCAGGCACUCCCCUCGGUGACACAUCACCUGCGCCUGAGGAGCGUGGAGAGACGCCGGAGCACACACACACCCCGCAGCCAGGGGUGUACAAAGGAAAAGGCGUGAAGGAGGGGUACGUAUCGCCUCCGCCUGGCACCACGCUGGACACGACACUCGGCUCCCAAGAAGCUCCACGCCGGUACCGCAUGGUCGAUGCCGUUCACGACGAAGCGAAGCCGGUGACUCUGGAUCCAGGGGAGCUGCUGCUGGUGGCCGGGGAGGAGCCCAACUCGUUUGAAGAAGCGGAGCCGCACGCUGCCUGGAGGACAACCAUGGUAGAUGAGCUGCAGUCCAUCGACGACAACAUCACCUGGACGCUCACCACGCUCCCGCCGGGCAAGAAGGCGAUCGGGGUGAAGUGGGUGUUCAAGCUCAAGAAGAACUCCGCGGGCGAGAUCGUGAAACACAAGGCGAGGCUCGUCGCAAAGGGAUAUGCACAGCGUGCAGGCGUGGACUAUGAGGAAGUGUUCGCUCCGGUGGCACGGCUCGAGUCCGUGCGGCUACUGCUGGCCAUAGCCGCGCAAGCUGGGUGGGAGGUGCACCACCUCGACGUCAAAUCAGCUUUCCUGAACGGAGAGUUACAGGAGGAUGUGUAUGUCACACAGCCACCAGGUUUUGAGCGCGCCGACGAAGAAGGGAAGGUGUUCCGUCUCUCCAAGGCGUUGUAUGGACUCUGUCAGGCGCCGCGGGCCUGGAAUAUCAAGCAAGACGAGACACUGGUGGCACUUGGCUUCCACAGAAGCCCUUCCGAGCACGCCGUCUACAUGCGUUGCGACGGCAGGGAGCGACUGCUGCUGGGCGUGUACGUCGACGACCUAAUCGUCACUAGAUCAAGUCUGCAGGCCAUCGCUCAGUUCAAACGGUAGAUGAUGUCGGUGUUCUCCAUGAGUGACCUUGGAUUGCUGAGCUAUUAUCUCGGUAUCGAGGUGCAUCAGGGAAAGGACUCGAUCACACUCAAGCAAGCAAGUUAUGCAGCCAAGCUCGUGGAGAAAGCUGGGAUGGCAGGAUGUCACCCAGUACACAUCCCCAUGGAGCCUCGGCUGAAGCUGAGCAAGGAGAACACGAACCCUCCGGUGGAUAAGAAGCUCUACCACAGCAUUGUAGGAAGCCUCCGCUAUCUGGUACACACGCGUCCAGAUAUUUCCUAUGCAGUAGGGUUUAUCAGCAGGUUCAUGGAGACACCCACGACAGAGCACUGGGCGGCGGUGAAACAGGUGUUGAGAUAUGUAUCAGGCACUCUGAACCUUGGGUGCAGAUACAAGAAAGGAGAAGUGGAGCUGCUGCUGGUUGGAUACAGUGAUGCUGACUUCGCCGAGGAUGUCGAUGAUAGAAAGAGCACAUCAGAUAUGGUGUUCGUCUUCGGGGGGAGCGCGAUCAGCUGGCAGUCCCAGAAGCAGAAGGUGGUCGCCCUUUCAUCCUGCGAAGCCGAGUACAUGGCGGCGACUGCAGCAACGUGCAUAGGCGUUUGGCUGCGGAGAAUGCUUGGAGAUCUACUCGGUGAUCCAGGAGGUGCAACCCCAUUUCUCAUCGACAACAAGUCGGCAAUCCAGCUCUGCAAGAACCCUGUCUUCCAUGACAGGACGAAGCACAUCGAGACGCGUUUCCAUUUCAUCAGGGAAUGCGUGCAGGACGGGAGGAUCGCCGUCGAUCACAUCCACAUGAGCGAGCAUCUGGCCGACAUCAUGACCAAGGCACUGCCUCGUGUGAAGUUUCAAGAGCUACGGGAGAAACUGGGGAUGAUCAACAUCAGCAACUGAUUAGGGGGGAGACUGUGAGCUAACAGCUGCAGAUGCUUGUUCUUCCUUCAGUUUCGACAGGUUCCAACAGGUGAUCUCUUUGUCAGUUUCGUCAGGGGGAAGCCACCACCGUAUCUGUCCCGUUUUCAUUCAAAUAACCUGAGCUGCGACUCAGGCGUAGACUAGGAUAGUUAUUCCCUAUUGUUGCGGCCCUGACCUGAUCGUGGGAUGGCACGAAUGAGAUGGUCAUGGGCGCAUCACGGGCGAAGCGCGGGGAGCGUUGGGAUGGCGAUGCUCACGAC
Molecule: long non-coding RNA, 5100 nt
Filed under: Hordeum vulgare
Lineage: Eukaryota; Viridiplantae; Streptophyta; Magnoliopsida; Poales; Poaceae
Description: long non-coding RNA (HVUL_LNC007748)
Source: RNAcentral